This 1334-nucleotide ribosomal RNA is filed under the name uncultured bacterium. Its description in RNAcentral is "bacterial SSU rRNA". It matches the Rfam family "Bacterial small subunit ribosomal RNA", at positions 28 to 1382 of the family's 1533-position model. The record is from RNAcentral.
GACGAACGCUGGCGGCGCGCCUAACACAUGCAAGUCGAACGAGCGAGAGAGAGCUUGCUUUCUCGAGCGAGUGGCGAACGGGUGAGUAACGCGUGAGGAACCUGCCUCAAAGAGGGGGACAACAGUUGGAAACGACUGCUAAUACCGCAUAAGCCCACGGCUCGGCAUCGAGCAGAGGGAAAAGGAGCAAUCCGCUUUGAGAUGGCCUCGCGUCCGAUUAGCUAGUUGGUGAGGUAAUGGCCCACCAAGGCGACGAUCGGUAGCCGGACUGAGAGGUUGAACGGCCACAUUGGGACUGAGACACGGCCCAGACUCCUACGGGAGGCAGCAGUGGGGAAUAUUGCACAAUGGGGGAAACCCUGAUGCAGCGACGCCGCGUGGAGGAAGAAGGUCUUCGGAUUGUAAACUCCUGUUGUUGAGGAAGAUAAUGACGGUACUCAACAAGGAAGUGACGGCUAACUACGUGCCAGCAGCCGCGGUAAAACGUAGGUCACAAGCGUUGUCCGGAAUUACUGGGUGUAAAGGGAGCGCAGGCGGGAAGACAAGUUGGAAGUGAAAUCCAUGGGCUCAACCCCAUGAACUGCUUUCAAAACUGUUUUUCUUGAGUAAUGCAGAGGUAGGCGGAAUUCCCGGGGUAGCGGUGGAAUGCGUAGAUAUCGGGAGGAACACCAGUGGCGAAGGCGGCCUACUGGGCACCAACUGACGCUGAGGCUCGAAAGUGUGGGUAGCAAACAGGAUUAGAUACCCUGGUAGUCCACACUGUAAACGAUGAUUACUAGGUGUUGGAGGACUGACCCCUUCAGUGCCGCAGUUAACACAAUAAGUAAUCCACCUGGGGAGUACCACCGCAAGGUUGAAACUCAAAGGAAUUGACGGGGGCCCGCACAAGCAGUGGAGUAUGUGGUUUAAUUCGACGCAACGCGAAGAACCUUACCAAGUCUUGACAUCCUGCGACGGACAUAGAAAUAUGUUUUUCCUUCGGGACGCAGAGACAGGUGGUGCAUGGUUGUCGUCAGCUCGUGUCGUGAGAUGUUGGGUUAAGUCCCGCAACGAGCGCAACCCUUAUGGUCAGUUACUACGCAAGAGGACUCUGGCCAGACUGCCGUUGACAAAACGGAGGAAGGUGGGGAUGACGUCAAAUCAUCAUGCCCUUUAUGACUUGGGCUACACACGUACUACAAUGGCGUUAAACAAAGAGAAGCAAGACCGCGAGGUGGAGCAAAACUCAGAAACAACGUCCCAGUUCGGACUGCAGGCUGCAACUCGCCUGCACGAAGUCGGAAUUGCUAGUAAUCGCAGAUCAGCAUGCUGCGGUGAAUACGUUCCCGGGCCUU